Long non-coding RNA from Coregonus clupeaformis (lake whitefish), 1132 nucleotides. RefSeq lists it as uncharacterized. Lineage: Eukaryota; Metazoa; Chordata; Actinopteri; Salmoniformes; Salmonidae. The record is from RefSeq and is a predicted model, not a curated record. The transcript is spliced from 4 exons.
UAAAAGAGAUAUAUCAUCAUUUUCACAAUUUCACAGUAUUAUUCCAACCUCAUAGUGUGGAAAUGUAUAUCAAACACUGGAAAAUCCUAUUUAUAACUGCUUUAAUACCCCAAAUGUGAUUUGUUAGGUGCAUUCAGGAGAAAGGGCCACACUGCAAUGAGUCUGUGUAGUUCCAGUCAGAGCCAUGUAUUUAGAAUACAAUUCUAAAUAUAUGGCUCUGUUUCCAGUCAUUUAGGCCUUGGUUGCCGUGGAUACAACAACAAACCCUUUUGUAAACUCCACUGCCAAACAGCCACCACAUCUACUGGUCAAACAGAGCUGGACAGCCAAGAUUAACCCACAUUUGUAAGCAAGGCUGGGGAUACAAGCUACCCCUUCUAAGUCCCUACUGUUAGGUGUUUAUAAGAUUUUGUGUUUUUUGCCGUGUGAGAUGUAGUUGUUGUAGACGAAGCAGAGAUGCCUAUAUCUUCUGGAGCUGAGGGUAGAGUAGAUGUGGGGAUAGAUACAUCCAUAGCAUGGACGCCAGAUGGGGUGAAAAAAGAGGCAAAACUGGUCAAGAACUGUGAUUCCUAUCUAAGAAGGUAUCUGGAAAGCCAGGCAGGGAAGAAAAAACACAAUAGCACCAUUUUGGGGGAUGCCAGUCAACAUCUUGCUGGUCCAGAUGGAGAAAACAUGGACACUUUCUCACCCGGUGUGAGCAUAGAUCCUAACACACAACAGAAGAAGGGAACCAGUGAUGAAGGCAAAACCUCAGGAAAACAAACCAACGAAAAGAGCUUGAAGAAAUCCCAAACGUGUACACUUCUGUAGAGACACAACACUACGAAUGGACUGCACACUUGUUGCUUUGAUGCCCAACACCAUAAUGCAUUACUUAGUGCCAUAUAAUCCCAUUGUAUUGAGUCUUUAUGAUCACCCCAAGUUCUCUUCCUUGCCUGUUACUGUGAUGAAUCAUAGAAAUGGGGAGAGGGAGAAUAUAUUUGAUUUGGGAAUGACUGUAACUGCAAUCUAUGCCUAUCACUUUGCCUAUUGAACAAUUGCCUACUGUUAUUAAUUGUACUGUUUGGCUCCCUUUCAUAACCUAUGUUGAAUAAUGUCACAGUACUGUAUGUAAAACACUUCAAAGCAUCAA